Long non-coding RNA from Anguilla rostrata (American eel), 729 nucleotides. RefSeq lists it as uncharacterized. The transcript is spliced from 3 exons. The record is from RefSeq and is a predicted model, not a curated record. NCBI's taxonomy places the organism in Eukaryota, Metazoa, Chordata, Actinopteri, Anguilliformes, Anguillidae.
CAAGUGGAACCUGUUCUCAAUUUCCACAGACGUGGAAUUAUCUACAGUUAUUUUAAUAAUGUUUGCUAAUUUUAAUAGAUAAACCCGUCUGCUAGCCUUGUAUUCUAAAUAAUCCAUGGUUAGUUACGUCAUUAGCAAGGCCUCCCGGCCGUGACGCUGCCUAUGCCAACUAAUUCCUUCCGGUAAAGCGAGAAGAAGUGCGUCUCCUGAUUGGCAGGAAGGACAUCUCGUCUCAGCAGCGGCUCUCCGUCCUCACCAGACGACCGUUCGAGGUUUGCUGCCUCCUGUCCCUGGCACAGGUCUGUCGUCCCGUCCCUGCGAGCGCGCACCGGAUCGGUGCGCGUGCCACUGACUUCUCGUUCUCUUCCGUCGCCAUAGCAAAUCAAGAGGAGGAGGUGCAGUUGAGUUCCGGCCAGUGGCUGAGGCGUUCAGUCACAGCCCGCCUGGAAGAGCCUCGCCAGCUCCUCGCAGUCCGGGUCGAUGAGGUCGGCCGGCCUUUCCCCGCACUCGUUCUCCGCGUCCGCGCUGGCGCCCUGUGAGAGGAGGUACCUGAGCGGGGGGAGAAACGGGACACGUCAGCACGCGUCGCAGUGGCGGCCCCUCUCCCCGCGCCCAGGUUAAAACGAUUCGAAUGGUUCUGUUUCUGAACUAAAUGUAUAUUCGGGCCAGAUUUACUGCCAUGUAAGUAUUGUACUUUACUGGUAUAUAAACUGCCUUAUCUCUUUUGUC